Cyprinus carpio carpio is the source of this 953-nucleotide long non-coding RNA. The record is from Ensembl. Lineage: Eukaryota; Metazoa; Chordata; Actinopteri; Cypriniformes; Cyprinidae.
CAAUACUUCAUUUCUUUCUUUUUAUAAUCUCUACUAUGUUAGAAUUUUAUGAAUGAUGAUUAUACACAAAUUUCAUAACGUUAUGAGGUGUAUAAUCUCUUAACAUGUUUUUAUAACAGAUUCGAGGUAACUAUAGCAGCAGGGUAGAAAAGUCAGCAGAGGGAGAGGAGGAGCAGGUGAUCAGGGUCUAUGCUGAAAUUUCUCAGUGUACCUACAGCUGCAGAGACAUUUGAUGCUGCUACAUCUGGAAUUAUUCAUAGUACUCCUGGGCCAUCUACUGAUCCUAAGGUGAAACUUCAGUCUUCACUCCAACCGAGGAUUGCAUACUGGAUUGCACUACUUGCACUGACUGUGUCAUAUGAUGAGGGCCCCACAACCCUUCAAGCCGGCACUGGUCAUGAUGGUCAGACAGCAGGUGGAUUAUGAUGAUCGGAUGUUACCUGGAGCUGGCAGAAACUGGACAUAUCAAAGAAGCUAACACUGAAGAGACAUCUGAUGCUGCCGAGUCCAAAAUGGUGCAAAAAUGGAGAUGUAUGAAAAAUGGUGUAUGUUUGGUUCCACCUGAUAAAAGCACAUAAUAGCCAGAUUCGGAGGGUAAUUGGUUCUCAUGGUGACGUAAGCAAUUAUCAACAUUUACAGGGAUUAGUCUGUGAUUUUAUUGCCAUCUGAAUCCAGAAUGUUAUUGUUUUUCACCCACCAUCCUAAUAAAAAUCCCCAGCUGAAUUACCAAGGUCAUGUGGUAAUUUAAUUGCUGUCCAAAUCCACAUCUCUCUGAAUAAUUUGUUUCAAAAUUAACUGUUUAAAUCCAUUUUCACCACCAUUUAACACUAUAUACUAACUGUUGUACUUCGCAUGCAUAUUACUGAAAAAAAGAAUACUGAAAUGCUAGAAAGUAUUUACAAGAAUAAUAUUUCAUAACUGCUCCAUCACAUGCUCCCUUUAAGAAGAAAAAG